GGUGCUGUACUGGAGCAUGAGGCAAACACACAUCUGAAGUAGGUGGAAUUUGAGGAUGUAUUAGCCAAAGGGAUUCAUAAAAUCCCCAUUUUCCUACUCCUCCACAAGGAAAUGGGAACUCUAACCACUAUAUCAGAGAAACCUUAAAGUAAAAACCAACUAUGAGCCUCUGGCUUUGCACACAUUUACACAGCAAAUAAAGGUUUGAUUACAGCCUCAGCUGCAUUUUCACUAUAACACACCUAGCAAACAGCCCACCCACAGACUUCAGUGCAGACUAAAGCUACGAGUACCAGCCUCAGUACCAGAAUCACAGAAAACUCGGGUCAGAAGGACUCUGUCUAGUUCAGCCUCCUGCUCAAGAGCCUCCAUCACUUCACAGUGAGAACUCUGCUUGCCACACUGAAGCUAAGGGAGCAGCUCAGGGGAAGAGAAGACAAAUUGGAUACUAUUUCAACCCCUGUUUUCGCUAAUACUCAGCUGCUUUAUUGGAACUAAAAAGGUCACAAGCAAAACGCCUCUCAGUUUAUGAGAAGGGAGAGUUUCUGUACCCCCCAAAAAUCCCAGGCUGCACGUCUCUGGAUCAAUGACUAGUGUUACUACAGUCUGCUGUGGAAAAGCUCAGCCCCAGCCAAAGGCUCAGGGCCCAUCUCCAACAUAUUUGCAGAGGCCCUGUAAGGAAAAUCCUUCCACGAGGCCCCCGAGUGACACUGCGGUGAAGCUGCAGCGCCAGCUCCCAUCGCCCACCCUCCUGCACCUACGUGCCCACAGGAAAGCACAAAGCAGCUAUUUUGCAGUCUCACUGCAGAGGUGGGUCAGCUCCAGAGGGAAUAAGCAUCAGAAAUGCAAGGAAGUUCACAAAGAAAAGGAAGGGAAAAGUGAGACUCAACAACGUUUCGCUAAAUGCAUCACCCUACAGCCGAAUUUCCGCUCUGCCAUACUCUGUGGCUGAAGUUGGCCAUUCCUUCAUGCUCGGGGGCAACAUCUAGUCCCAGACAGGUGUCCAAGCAAAACACAAGGAGUCAGACGUGCUUGCUCCACACCUAACACGUCAAACCCUCCCAAACCCAGGGGCUGCUUCAAAGCUACACAUGCAUUUACAAACAUACAUAUAUUAACACCCCCAUUCUGGCAUUUCCUGCCUGCUGGACCAGAUCCAAACCCGAGCCCACGAGCUGGUGAUGCCUACUGUAACAUAUCUCCAGGAAUUACAAAAAUCUUUGUCUCUCUGUCCCACAACAGUCUCUGACAGUUUCUGAUAUCUCUUUCUCAAAGGCACACUAAGCAAUUUAACAUCUGCUAUUUGAUAAGCGCUGACAUACGAGGCAUCCUCAAGUCUUCAGACCGCGAACAAGAGAACGACUUGCUCACUUUCAUACGCUCAUGGCAAAAUUGAGCCACUGCCAGAGUCACUGAAGCACACGCUGCCUAAAACCUGGAACACACGUGAGGGGGAGAGAGGAGAAACAGAGAUGAGAAACAGCCAGCAAAUCUUACCAGGAGAGGUGGGCUGCUAAUAAACCAAACCAUUAGGAUUGCAACAAAAACAAUCAAGCACACGGAGUGUCACAGUGAGAAACAGUGAGUCACACUCCCAUACAAAGGCACAUUUCUUUGCUCUUGCAUGACAACAUUCUAAGUGUAUCUUUUUCCUUUUUACCAGCCAGAGGCAUAAAACCACUCGCAGACAGACCCAAGGUCUCCAAAAUGUAAACAUCUACAACAAAAAUACACACUCCUGAAACAAAAACACUUCAGGAAGUUCCGGUUACACUUAAGAGUAAACCAAGGCUUUAAGCAGAACAGUAAUUUGUGUAACUGUUUAAGCAUCGACCCGCUAAUCUAAUCAACCACAUUAACAUGAACAUUCCCAGAUUUAUUUAAGAGUUUUCACCUUUUUAAGUAGUACAGAUAGUGAAUACAAUGGAAAUUAUUUCCCUUUUCAGGUUACUCACCUAUUCUGAUUUAUAUCUUGACAUCAAUUCCUACAAAUAUCCAGCUCUACCUAACAUGCACCUGUGGCACUGGGAAUCCUCCCCACGAAACACUGAUUACCAAAUACACAGCAUUCUCUGGUGCUCCCUAUAAAUUUCAUAUAAAAGACAGUAAAGUCAUCCUGCAGAACAGUAAUUUCAGAACAGUGUGACAUCCAACACUUCUGGCACCAGUGUGACACUGUGCUCCUUGCCUGUGUGCCCACAUGUAAAACACGCACAGCCACGCUUCUCCAUUUCUCACAGCUCGCAUAAUCUGGUUCAUCAAACCUAAUCAAGCCCUUUAAAAAUGUCAUGCAAAAGCAAAUCCAGAGUUUCUGGAUUCUGCUUACAAAGCACAACUUGGGCAUUUUGUGCUGCCGAGUAAAGUAAACAGCAAUUGCUUCGAGUUAUGAAAGGAUUUAAUACGCCAGAAACUCCAAGUCACCGUCAUGUAAAACCCUUCUAAAUGCCUUCUGCCACACUGUUUGCUGACUCCUUGGCAUUGCAGAUGAACUGAUGCAUCUUUGGAAGUCAAGAGAGCAAAACCAAACAGAAAAAAUACCUAACUUUACCAGAGAAGAACUUCAUUCAUUACUGGGUACAGCAAAACAAGCACAUAAAACCAGGGACAACCUAAGGCAAACACGGAACGGCAUUUCAGAAGAUGGAAAAGCUCUGGGUGUGCAGUGGCUAACAGGAGUUGGAUUAUCAUUUUCCUGCAAACAAGACUAUAUGAUGUCAUACAAACUGCUCUGACUGUACUGGUGUGGAAUUAUCUCGAAAGGAUUGCUGAUCUACAGAGAGAGGGAUAAAACUGGGUAAAACAAAUUGUAAGGCUUGUAGUGAGCCUCUGUUACUCCCAGAAGUGCCUGUUGUUCACAGCAGUCCUGGCAACAGCAGGUUCCAGAACAGCAAGCCCUUCCUUGAAGCAGCAGCUCAGUCCCAUUUCAGUAUGGCACUGUCACAUAACACGGACUUUGCACAGGAGUUUUAUAGAGUUUACACACAGAAAGAUUUAAAAAAAAAUCAGUAACGACAUUUCAUUCACUUGAUACCUGGUGAUGUUGGUUCAGCUCCUGCAGAUGCCCUGCCUGAGUUGGUUAUGGGAAGCCAACCUGCUUUACACGGAGGAAGGUCAGUUCUUGAUACUGCAAGAAUGAUUUUCUGCUGCUGGCACUGUGACUGAUGGGAUGACUCAGGCCUGCCAGUUGCCUUGUCCUUGUGAGCAGAGCUGAAAAUCUCUUGCCACUCCGUAACUUUUCUCCUAGAUUCACUUCCCCUCUCCAACUCUCUCCUCUAAAAAAAUAAAAAGGAAAAUGUUCUCCCAGUCUCUCCAGCAGCCCUGGUUUGGGAUAGCUAAAGGAGUUCAGUGCAAACAAACAGUAUGGAUGUUUUCUCCUCAGCCCCACCCUCCCACAGUCACUCCUUUUCCUGCCUGGAGACCCUUGUAGGUACACACAGUCUCCUACAUUUCCGAGCUCACAUUUUUAGCACACCUGGUAGCAGGCAAACUCUCGGGUGCCUCUUGACAGCCACUGAUCACUGGUCUAUAUCCCAUACAGGGCCAGAACUUGCAGGUGGCUCUGCCUUCCAGGCUGGCCCAGCUUGGGACAAGGGUCUGGUUGCUAUGAUUAAGAUCUGUGCCACGUUUCAGGAAAUCCUCAAGGAGCAGAGGCCUAAAAAUUUGCUUUAUAAAGAGAAAUAUGAAAUACAAGGCAAUCAGCCCUAAACAGAAGGUGGAGUGAGCUGGGAAUGAUGAUACUGGGACGCAAGGGAGAAACGAGGCACCUGACUGGGACUUGGUUCCAGCAGGGAGCGAGAUGUGCCAACUCCCUGAAAUCUCUGCCAUCUCCCAAUUUCCCAAGCACAUCACAUGUAAAAGCUUAGCUCUCCCAUCACACCAUACUCUACACAAACAGCCUUUGUGUCCAGAGGA
Long non-coding RNA from Corvus hawaiiensis (hawaiian crow), 3912 nucleotides. RefSeq lists it as uncharacterized. The record is from RefSeq and is a predicted model, not a curated record. The transcript is spliced from 4 exons. Lineage: Eukaryota; Metazoa; Chordata; Aves; Passeriformes; Corvidae.